GGGACUGUGGCUCCGCGGUACAGCGCCUGCUUGGCACGCAAAAGGUCCCGAGUUCAAUUCCUGGCAUCUCCA
This 72-nucleotide transfer RNA is filed under the name Sphaerodactylus townsendi. Its description in RNAcentral is "tRNA-Ala". It matches the Rfam family "tRNA". Rfam says of the family: Transfer RNA (tRNA) molecules are approximately 80 nucleotides in length. Their secondary structure includes four short double-helical elements and three loops (D, anti-codon, and T loops). Further hydrogen bonds mediate the characteristic L-shaped molecular structure. tRNAs have two regions of fundamental functional importance: the anti-codon, which is responsible for specific mRNA codon recognition, and the 3' end, to which the tRNAs corresponding amino acid is attached (by aminoacyl-tRNA synthetases). tRNAs cope with the degeneracy of the genetic code in two manners: having more than one tRNA (with a specific anti-codon) for a particular amino acid; and 'wobble' base-pairing, i.e. permitting non-standard base-pairing at the 3rd anti-codon position. Lineage: Eukaryota; Metazoa; Chordata; Lepidosauria; Squamata; Sphaerodactylidae. The record is from RNAcentral.